GAUCGGGAUCGAAGCGUAGCUAGAAAUCUCUUGGAAUCAGCGUCCAUCUUUGCCCCUACGAAAUUGUCGAACUUUUGGAGCAAAUAGAAGGACGAAUUUGUAAUAAAUCUCAAGCCGGAUCGAUCCUGAAUAGAUGAAGAAGAAGACGAUGAUUUCUUGGUAGGAGGAGAG
This 171-nucleotide small RNA is filed under the name Arabidopsis thaliana (thale cress). RNAcentral's name for it is "ATSL056790". The record is from RNAcentral. Lineage: Eukaryota; Viridiplantae; Streptophyta; Magnoliopsida; Brassicales; Brassicaceae.